Molecule: long non-coding RNA, 764 nt
Filed under: Zea mays
Lineage: Eukaryota; Viridiplantae; Streptophyta; Magnoliopsida; Poales; Poaceae
Description: long non-coding RNA (ZMAY_LNC000029)
Source: RNAcentral
AGAGAAUUGAAUCAUGGAAGGAGGGGGUAGCAACACGCCCUUCUACCGCGGCAACAGCACCGCACUCGCCACCAACCCUUCUGCUGCUGCUGCUGCUGCUGCUGCGGUAUUCCUCUUCCUUGCUUUCUCUAGCCCCAAUCUCCACGCCGUGAGCUUGUUGCCUCCUCGCAACGGGUUAGGAUUCCCAACGGGUUUUCUGGAAUCUAGGUCUAUGUUCUCUUUGUCUGAUCUUUACAUUAGAAAUAUCGAUGUAUGUCUGUGUUCCUAGGGUAAUCUCUGCUAUGCUGUAUGGCUCUGCGCCAUUGCUUAUUCCACCCCUCUAGCUCUAGGGGAUUCAAGAAACAGUGGAUCAAGACAUGAGCCGUUUAUGUUAAUAAUAACUGCAAAAGGGGUCACUACGGUUUAUCUAAGUGAAAUCUCGAUUCUGGUUUCUUUUGUAAACUUAUGUGAAAGAGACUCUAGAGGGUAUGGUUAAGUAUAUAUAUCAUGUGUGGUUUUUUUUUUGGCAUCCGUAGGAUUUGUUUUUUCUGGCUUGCGUGUUCAAAGCACACAACUGCCUACUACUGCAUCUAGUUUCAGUUGAUAGGUCUGUCUUUUAGUUCACUGAUUAAAAGCUGAUUUUGCUAGCGAGCAGAAUGGGGCACAGAAAGGGGACAGGGAGGCUGCCAUCGAUGCCGAGAUAGUGAGGGUUAACGACCUACCAGCUCAUAGUUCCUACGCCAUACACCGCAUGAAGGUGCUAAACAAACUUCGUCAUCUGCUGU